UGCACCAAGCUUGAAUUGUUGAAUAUGUUGGUGACAACUGAGGGAGCCUUGAAAGGUUCAAGGGGCAUAGUUCUUGCUGCUGAGCUAGCUUCUACUUCCAAGAGAAAGUCUACUAGGAAGAAGAAGAAGCCUGCGAAGAAGCAGAAGACCGAGAAAAAGCUGAAGAAGGAAGUUCCUAAGAAGAAGGCCGAACCCAAAGGAAAAUGUUUCCAUUGCA
Molecule: long non-coding RNA, 217 nt
Filed under: Phoenix dactylifera (date palm)
Lineage: Eukaryota; Viridiplantae; Streptophyta; Magnoliopsida; Arecales; Arecaceae
Description: long non-coding RNA (PDAC_LNC011728)
Source: RNAcentral